Molecule: non-coding RNA, 72 nt
Organism: Ictidomys tridecemlineatus (thirteen-lined ground squirrel)
Lineage: Eukaryota; Metazoa; Chordata; Mammalia; Rodentia; Sciuridae
Source: Rfam
GGAGUUGUGGCUCAGUGGUAGAGCGCAUACCUAGCACCUAUGAGGCACAGGGUUCAAUCCUUAGCAACACAC